This 509-nucleotide ribosomal RNA is filed under the name uncultured bacterium. Its description in RNAcentral is "bacterial SSU rRNA". It matches the Rfam family "Bacterial small subunit ribosomal RNA", at positions 28 to 527 of the family's 1533-position model. The record is from RNAcentral.
GACGAACGCUGGCGGCGUGGAUUAGGCAUGCAAGUCGAACGGUAUCAUCCUUUCGGGGGUGAGAGAGUGGCGAACUGGUGAGUAACACGUAGGUUAUCUACCCUCAAGACGGGGACAACCCAGGGAAACUUGGGCUAAUACCGGAUGUGAGCAACUUUUAGUUGUUUGAAAGGUGGCGUAAGCUGUCGCUUGGGGAUGAGCCUGCGUCCUAUUAGUUAGUUGGUGAGGUAACGGCUCACCUAGGCAAUGAUAGGUAGGCGGCCUUAACGGGUGGUCGCCCACACUGGGAUUGAGAUACGGCCCAGACUCCUACGGGAGGCAGCAGUCGAGAAUAGUCUACAAUGGUCGGAAGACUGAUAGUGCGACGCCGCGUGAACGAUGAAUCCCUUCGGGGUGUAAAGUUCUUUUAUAUGUGAGCAGUGCUUCUUAUAUUAACAGUAUGGGGAGAGAGAUAUUAGCAUAUGAAUAAGCAACGGCUAACUCCGUGCCAGCGCCGCGGUAAAAUCACG